This 397-nucleotide ribosomal RNA is filed under the name uncultured bacterium. Its description in RNAcentral is "bacterial SSU rRNA". It matches the Rfam family "Bacterial small subunit ribosomal RNA", at positions 28 to 417 of the family's 1533-position model. The record is from RNAcentral.
GACGAACGCUGGCGGCGUGCUUAAUACAUGCAAGUCGAGCGAGGUCCAUCUGGUGGCAACACCAGUGAAGGCCGAGCGGCGAACGGGUGAGUAACACGUGAGCAACCUGCCCCGAAGUCUGGAAUAACAUCGGGAAACCGGUGCUAAUACCGGAUCGCCCCACCUGACUGCAUGAUCGGGUGAGGAAAGAUUUAUCGCUUCGGGGAGGGGCUCGCGGCCUAUCAGCAGUUGGUGGGGUAACGGCCUACCAAGGCGUCGACGGGUAGCUGGUCUGAGAGGACGACCAGCCACACUGGGACUGAGACACGGCCCAGACUCCUACGGGAGGCAGCAGUAGGGAAUCUUGCGCAAUGGGCGAAAGCCUGACGCAGCAACGCCGCGUGGGGGAUGACGGCCU